Bubalus bubalis (water buffalo) is the source of this 1691-nucleotide long non-coding RNA. RefSeq lists it as uncharacterized. NCBI's taxonomy places the organism in Eukaryota, Metazoa, Chordata, Mammalia, Artiodactyla, Bovidae. The transcript has 2 exons. The record is from RefSeq and is a predicted model, not a curated record.
GAUUCUAAAAGUACCUCCUCCUUUUCUUUCCUGGGGCACUUAUUCUUUCCAGAGGUGAGACAAAGACAUUCCAUGAGGUGAAAACUACUUCUCCCCAUGUUCCUGUGGUCCCAUCCAAACAGAGAGCCACCCAGAUGAGACACCGUGAGAACUGUGCAUUCAAGGACACAUAAAGCCCUGGGUGGUGAGUCGCCAAGGUCGCUGGAACCAGGUUUCUGCUCACCAUCGUCUGACAUCACUUCACAAGGAGCUACCACUUCUAGCUGUGUGACCUUGGGCAUACCCCUUAAUCUUGGCUAUGUCUCCACUCCCUCAUCAGCAGAAUGGGGAUAAUGAUAACAGAAAGCACCUCUUUUGGUUGUUAGAGGAUUGCCUGAGUCUACAAAGUGGUGGGAGAAAUGGAACCUGCAAAGUUCAGAGGCCUUGACCUUGCAGCAAGGUGUCCAGAGUGAACUGUAGCAGAAGAGGCAAAAGAACUCGACAACUUUUUCUAAAAAAAAAGAAUGAUUUGGCAUUAUCCUCUGGACUCUGUUUCAUGAUCAGCUAAGAACAAGCUCAUUUACCAUCUGGUCAUGAAUUGUACCUGCAGGUGUUUCCAAAUGUAGCAGGAAAUUUUUUCCUUAGAACAUACUUGAAAAGUUCUCAGUUAUUUUUGUUGUGCCAUUUUUCUCAUUGUCGACUGUUGCCUAAAUCUUUUCUUUACAAUUUUACUUAUUUAUAUAAUAGCACUGACAAUCACACAGCAGUGCUAUCUUGUGCUAUCUUGUCCCCCAUAACAAUGAAUUUCCAAAGGGCCAACACCAAGUAUUAUUCUUGUUCUUACCUCCCCCACUCCCCGUCCCAUCAGGCCUAGACCAUUUAUUGAGCUCCUGUUAUUGCUAGAGCUGUGCAGACACUUCCAUUUACAUUACUUUCCAUAAUCUGCACUAUAAACUCAAGUGCUUUGUCCAGGGCCCUACAAAUACUAAACUGAAAGAAUCCCAGCUCCAUGCUCUUUCCAAACCAUCACAUUGAGUUAUAGCAAAUGAGAGCACUGGAGUGCUCCCUGAUUGGAGCCUUAGCUCUUCCGCUUGUUACCGGAUGUGCCAGUCUUGUCACCAUUUGAGUGUCUGUUGUGCGUGUGUGCUAAAUCACUUCAGUUGUGUCCAAAUCUUUGCAACCCCAUGGACCAUAGCCCACAAGGCUCCUCUGUCUAGGGAUCCUCCAGGCAAGAAUACUCGAGUGGGUUGUCAUGCCCUCCUUCAGGUUUGGGUUGCUGUUACUUCAUCUCUAAAACCUACCCUGUAGGCAUUUCAAGCUCCUUCAGGGAGGGGCUGGAGACACAUCAGAGCUGGGAAACAGAGCUGGUUCCCACGUUCCCCCAAAGCAGCAACAGGUGUCUGAGGAUGGCUGAUGGAGCAAAGCUCUGAAAGGUACUCUACCUUUUACCCAGUAAAGCCCAGUUCUGGUCCUCCUUCCCUGCCUUCUCCAAAAGGAGCCAUUAUCCGUCUGGAGAGGUUGGAGAUUACUUUCUCCCUAGGAGCAUCACUACAUCACCUACCCCAGUUUCCAUGACUUUCAUUUGUUGCAAAUGCUGUUUCUCCCUCCCUCCACCUCCCAACCAGGAUCUCGCUGCCAGAGACACAUUCAGCAACAACUUAGAAAGCCUCACUGGAGGCAGGCAGAAAGCUAAUGCCGUAUCUGACCCUUUC